GUCAGCUGCCAUACCACCUGCAGUUUGAACUAGAUAAUCCAUCUGAAGCUAAGCAGGUUUGCACCUGGCUGGUAUUUAGAUGGGAGGCUAACUAGGAAAGCUUCGGCUGUGGUGGAAG
RNAcentral lists this ribosomal RNA (118 nucleotides) under Paramormyrops kingsleyae. Lineage: Eukaryota; Metazoa; Chordata; Actinopteri; Osteoglossiformes; Mormyridae. The record is from RNAcentral.